This 361-nucleotide ribosomal RNA is filed under the name Neobatrachus pelobatoides. RNAcentral's name for it is "partial 16S ribosomal RNA". Lineage: Eukaryota; Metazoa; Chordata; Amphibia; Anura; Limnodynastidae. The record is from RNAcentral.
CAUAGCUUAAACACACCCUCAACAUCAAUACCACCAUCCCAACAAAACCCUUCUCCAGUAUCAAGCAAUUCUAUAGAGAUAUAGAAAAACUUAUGCUAGAACUAGUAACAAGAAAUAGACCUUCUCUCCAAUAUAAGUGUACAUCAAAAUGGACACACCACUGAUAACUAACGCCACUGAACCCAUAGUAGCAACCCACCAAGAAAACCCUACUAACCCCAACGUUAACCUAACACUAGAGUAUUUUGAGAAAGAUUAAAAAAAAGGGAAGGAACUCGGCAAAUAUUAACCUCGCCUGUUUACCAAAAACAUCGCCUCUUGAGUUAUAUAAGAGGUCCAGCCUGCCCAGUGACCAUGUUGA